GUGGGGAAUAUUGGACAAUGGGCGAAAGCCUGAUCCAGCCAUGCCGCGUGUGUGAAGAAGGUCUUCGGAUUGUAAAGCACUUUAAGUUGGGAGGAAGGGCAUUAACCUAAUACGUUAGUGUUUUGACGUUACCGACAGAAUAAGCACCGGCUAACUUCGUGCCAGCAGCCGCGGUAAUACGAAGGGUGCAAGCGUCAAUCGGAAUUACUGGGCGUAAAGCGCGCGUAGGUGGUUCGGUAAGUUGGAUGUGAACGCCCCGGGCUCAACCUGGGAACUGCAUCCAAAACUGGGGAGCUAGAGUACGGUAGAGGGUGGUGGAAUUUCCUGUGUAGCGGUGAAAUGCGUAGAUAUAGGAAGGAACACCAGUGGCGAAGGCGACUACCUGGACUGAUACUGACACUGAGGUGCGAAAGCGUGGGGAGCAAACAGGAUUAGAUACCCGAGUAGUCC
Molecule: ribosomal RNA, 450 nt
Filed under: uncultured bacterium
Lineage: Bacteria
Description: partial 16S ribosomal RNA
Rfam family: Bacterial small subunit ribosomal RNA
Source: RNAcentral